Molecule: small nuclear RNA, 159 nt
Filed under: Marchantia polymorpha subsp. ruderalis
Lineage: Eukaryota; Viridiplantae; Streptophyta; Marchantiopsida; Marchantiales; Marchantiaceae
Description: U1 spliceosomal RNA
Rfam family: U1 spliceosomal RNA
About the family: U1 is a small nuclear RNA (snRNA) component of the spliceosome (involved in pre-mRNA splicing).
Source: Rfam by way of RNAcentral
AUACUUACCUGGGCGGGGCCUAUCGCUGAUCUAGAAGGGCGAUGACUUAGAUACAGGCUCUCCAUUGCACCAAGGACGGUCUGGAUCUAGCAUUUCCCUAUGGGUAAAUGCACGUCAUAAUUUGUGCCAGAGGAGGGCUCGCGUCCGCGCGGCCCUCCA